UACAGAGGUCUCAAGCGUUGUUCGGAUUCAUUGGGCGUAAAGGGUGCGUAGGCGGCGGGGCAAGUCAGGUGUGAAAUCCCGGGGCUCAACCCCGGAACUGCACUUGAUACUGCCUCGCUAGAGUACUGGAGAGGAGACUGGAAUUUACGGUGUAGCAGUGAAAUGCGUAGAGAUCGUAAGGAAGACCAGUGGCGAAGGCGAGUCUCUGGACAGUUACUGACGCUGAGGCACGAAGGCCAGGGGAGCAAACGGG
This 253-nucleotide ribosomal RNA is filed under the name uncultured bacterium. Its description in RNAcentral is "partial 16S ribosomal RNA". It matches the Rfam family "Bacterial small subunit ribosomal RNA", at positions 524 to 776 of the family's 1533-position model. The record is from RNAcentral.